This 768-nucleotide ribosomal RNA is filed under the name Triticum aestivum (bread wheat). RNAcentral describes it as "partial small subunit ribosomal RNA". The record is from RNAcentral. Lineage: Eukaryota; Viridiplantae; Streptophyta; Magnoliopsida; Poales; Poaceae.
AUUAAGAUAGGACUGCAUCAGGGGUCAGCUUUGAGCCCUUAUCUUUUUGCAUUGGUGAUGGAUGAGGUCACAAGAGAUAUACAAGGAGAUAUCCCAUGGUGUAUGCUCUUUGCGGAUGAUGUGGUGCUAGUUGACGAUAGUCGGACGGGGGUAAAUAGGAAGUUAGAGUUAUGGAGACAAACAUUGGAAUCGAAAGGGUUUAGGCUUAGUAGAACUAAAACCGAGUACAUGAUGUGCGGUUUCAGUACUACUAGGUGUGAGGAGGAGGAGAUUAGCCUUGAUAGCCAGGUGGUACCUCGGAAGGACACCUUUCGGUAUUUGGGGUCAAUGUUGCAGGAGGAUGGGGGUAUUGAUGAAGAUGUGAACCAUCGAAUCAAAGCCGGGUGGAUGAAGUGGCGCCAAGCUUCUGGCAUUCUCUGUGACAAGAGAGUGCCACAAAAGCUAAAAGGCAAGUUCUACAGGACGGCGGUUCGACCCGCAAUGUUGUAUGGCGCGGAGUGUUGGCCGACUAAAAGGCGACAUGUUCAACAGUUAGGUGUGGAGGAGAUGCGUAUGUUGAGAUGGAUGUGUGGCCACACGAGGAAGGAUCGAGCCCGGAAUGAUGAUAUACGAGAUAGAGUUGGGGUAGCACCAAUUGAGGAGAAGCUUGUCCAACAUCGUCUGAGAUGGUUUGGGCAUAUUCAGCGCAGGCCUCCAGAAGCUCCAGUGCAUAGCGGACGGCUAAAGCGUGCGGAGAAUGUCAAGAGAGGGCGGGGUCGACCGAAUUUG